Molecule: RNA transcript, 757 nt
Organism: Sapajus apella (tufted capuchin)
Lineage: Eukaryota; Metazoa; Chordata; Mammalia; Primates; Cebidae
Gene name: lysophosphatidic acid receptor 1 pseudogene
Exons: 1
Source: RefSeq, a predicted model, not a curated record
UCAUCUGAACUAUGGCCAUCGUUAUGGGUGCUAUACCCAGUGUGGACUGGAACUGUAUCUGUAAUACUGGAAACUAUUCCAAUUGGCACCCCUCUACAGCAACUCUUAGUCUUCUGGGCCAUUUUCAACUUGGUGACCUUUGUGGUAAUGGUGGUUCUCUGUGCUCCCAUCUUUGGCUAUGUUUGUCAGAGGACUAUGAGAAUGUCUCAGCAUAGUUCUGGACCCCAGUGGAAUCGGGAUAUCAUGAUGAGUCUUCUGAAGACCGUGGUCAUUGUGCUUGGGGCCUUUAUCAUCUGCUGGACUUCUGGAUUGGUUUUGUUAAUUCUAGAUGUGUGCUAUCCACAGUGCAGCGUGCUGCCCUAUGAGAAAUUCUUCCUUCUCCUUGUUGAAUUCAACUCUGCCAUGAACCCCAUCAUUUACUCCUACCACGACAAAGAAAUGAGCGCCACCUUUAGGCAGAUCCUCUGCUGCCAAUGCAGUGAGAACCCCAGCAGCCCCACAGAAGGCUCAGACCGCUCAGCUUCCUCCCUCAACCACACCAUCUUGGCUGGAGUUCACAGCAAUGACCACUCUGUGGUUUAAAACAGAAACUGAGAUAAGAGCCAGCAGUCCUCUCUUGGAGGAUAAACAGCCUCCCCCUAUCCAAUUGCCAGGGCAAGGUGGGGUGUGAGCGAGGAGAAAAGUCAACUCGUAUACUUAAACACUAACCAAUGACAAUAUUUGUUGCAGACCCCACAAGAAUUGAUAGAUUAGUUGA